CCAGCGCCGACAGUGCAUUUUCGAUUGUGUUGCCGAGCGGACGCUUUUCCUUUCGCGUGGGCGGAGUGCUAAUAAAGCUGAAAUAAAGCUUGGAAAAGAGUGAAAUAUUUAAAUUUCAAAGCGAAAAGCUCUCCGCCCACAGCUUAGGCAAAAGCGAUCAAGCCAAACAACAUUGCACUCCAACAAAAUUAAACCAAAUAAUGCUUCGUCAGGUAAUGAGUUGCAUUUUAAAAUGGUUUCGGUUCAUCAAAAAAACUCACUCAUCACCACAUAUAAAACCACCAACACACCAUCAUUAUCAUCAUCAUCGGCAACAACAAAAUUCACCAAACACAAAAAACAUGCAAUGUUUUCAUUUGCCGCUGCUCUAAAAGUUUAUUUUAUUAAUGCCAACAAAAUUAUGUGAUUACCAAAAUUAAUAAAACUGAUAACUACGUGUAA
This is a non-coding RNA of Drosophila kikkawai, 441 nucleotides long. The record is from RefSeq and is a predicted model, not a curated record. Lineage: Eukaryota; Metazoa; Arthropoda; Insecta; Diptera; Drosophilidae.